GAUGAACGCUGGCGGCGUGCCUAAUACAUGCAAGUCGAGCGAACAGAUGAGGAGCUUGCUCCUCUGACGUUAGCGGCGGACGGGUGAGUAACACGUGGAUAACCUACCUAUAAGACUGGGAUAACUUCGGGAAACCGGAGCUAAUACCGGAUAAUAUAUUGAACCGCAUGGUUCAAUAGUGAAAGACGGUUAUGCUGUCACUUAUAGAUGGAUCCGCGCCGCAUUAGCUAGUUGGUAAGGUAACGGCUUACCAAGGCGACGAUGCGUAGCCGACCUGAGAGGGUGAUCGGCCACACUGGAACUGAGACACGGUCCAGACUCCUACGGGAGGCAGCAGUAGGGAAUCUUCCGCAAUGGGCGAAAGCCUGACGGAGCAACGCCGCGUGAGUGAUGAAGGUCUUCGGAUCGUAAAACUCUGUUAUUAGGGAAGAACAAAUGUGUAAGUAACUAUGCACGUCUUGACGGUACCUAAUCAGAAAGCCACGGCUAACUACGUG
Molecule: ribosomal RNA, 497 nt
Filed under: uncultured bacterium
Lineage: Bacteria
Description: partial 16S ribosomal RNA
Rfam family: Bacterial small subunit ribosomal RNA
Source: RNAcentral